This is a long non-coding RNA of Rhineura floridana, 3258 nucleotides long. RefSeq lists it as uncharacterized. NCBI's taxonomy places the organism in Eukaryota, Metazoa, Chordata, Lepidosauria, Squamata, Rhineuridae. The transcript is spliced from 8 exons. The record is from RefSeq and is a predicted model, not a curated record.
UGCUACACUGGUGUCAGCAGCGGGACUGAAUUUCCUGGAGGAAGUAUUGGGAGUGAAGCGUACCUGAUUCAAAAUGGACGGGGAUAUAUAUAUAUUAUUUUUAUCAGCUGAUAAGCAAGAGGAUUCCCUACUGCAGUUUGCUGCUCCUUUCUGAGAGGCCACUGUUUCUUUACAAAGGAGGAGGACAGGGAGAGAACCAGAACAUGUGGCAGGGAGGCACACAAUGUUUCCCCCAGCAGAGAAGCAACUGUGACAGAAGGGAUCCUUUGUGAACCAAGAGCUGGCUUUCCCACCAACAGCCAACGUAUUUUAUGCCGUGAACAGCACGUGCCUGGACUUCAUGCUCCGACCAGGCAGCCAGUGCAAUUCUUUCAGCAGUGGGUUGACAUGUUGGCGAUACUCUGCCCCAGUGAGCAGUCUCGCCGCCGCAUUUUGCAGCAGCUGCCGCUUCUGGACGGGUCUCAAGGGCAGCCCCACAGAGAGUGCAUUACCGUAAUCCAGCCUGGAGGUUACCAGUGUGUGGACAACAGUGGUCAGGGUAUCUCGGUCCAGAAAAGCCACAAUUGUCUUGCCAGCCUAAGCUGGUAAAAGGCACUCCUAGCCACUGAGGUCACCUGGGCCUCUAGUGACAAAGAUGGAUCCAGGAGCAACCCCAGACUAUGGACCUGCUCUUUCAGAGGGAGUAUGACCUCAUAUCAGACUUAGUGUGCUAAAUGAUCUCAAUUUGAUUCCUAGACAGAGCAAAAGCACCUCCAUUCAAAGUUCCUCGUAGUGGCUAGGACACCAUUUUGAAUUAAGGGGGGGUUGAAAGUAUGCCUAUAAAUGCCCCCAUUACUCACACACUGACUGGUGUUAUCAGUCCUCCUGGUUGACACAAGGGACCUUUGAAGAGUGAAUAGAAAGCACUACUGAAAAUUGGCAAUCUUUUCAUCAAAGGAAUCAAAUGUGGAAGACCACGACUGAAAGUAAACCGCAAAGUUUUAUUAAAAGGGUAAAUAUAGGUGAAGAGAGCAAUCGAGAUGCCCACAGGGCAAGUCAGCCACCACCCGCAUCCACAUCCCAUCACUCAUGCUGGCUGGGGUGAAGGUAAAGUUAGUCCUUCCUUAAUUUAUGAUGACAAUCCAAAAAAUUUAGACUCGUUGCUUUCUUCCACCACAUUACACCCAAAGAUCUUUCCAUUUCCGUAUCACAACCAGGUCACAAACUCCAGGAACUGCAAAAAUUAAACCAAAAUUCUAUAUUCCAGGAGAGGCUUGUAAAAGUUCAGAGACACGUUAGGGAGUAUAGGAUUGAAUUAGACAAUUGUUCCAUCUAGCUCAGUAUUGUCCACACUGACUGGCAGAGUCUCUCCAGGAUUACAGUCUUUUCCAGAAUUUCCUGGAGAUUCAGAGUGGGACCUUCUGUGUACAAACCAGCUGCUCUGCCACUGAGCUACAGCCCUUCCCCUGAACGGUUCUCUCCUUCAGCUUGUUUGUAAAUAAGAAUAGGUGGGAAAUGGGGAUGACGCUGUUCUCUCGGCCCCGUUGGAGCUGCUGUCAGCCAUCUGUCAGCCAUCCAGGCGCCCAUCUUCAAAGUAAGACAUAGGCCCCAUAACUGGGUUUUUAUCAAAACUUAUAUGGUAGAAACAACAAUCCUCACAUUCAGCUAUUCUUAGCCAGCACCUUUCCUGAUCUGCCAGCCUUUGGCCUAGGCAUAGUGAUCCCUAUUUGGCUUUAAUCAUAGAAUAAGUGGACCUGCUCCUUCUGAACACUGCCUCUGAAUGCUGAAAACCAUUCCCAGAAGCAGGGAAGGGAUGAGGACCCCGUGAGAGUCCAAGAGAUCAAAUAUGGAACAGCAAGACCCAGCUACCCCUGAAGCAGGACUUGGGACAUGAUGUCAUUAAGACUGAGAGCCAUGGGGAAGAAUUCUCGGGGGGAAACAUGCAGAAGAUCUUGGGGGAGAAUCCAUUCAGCUCAGAUGUGCAGCACCAGUUCUGGCAUUUCCGCUACCAGGAGGCUGAGGGCCCCCGAGAGGCUUGCAACCGACUCCACCUUCUUUGUCGUGAGUGGCUGAAGCCAGAGCAACACUCGAAGAACCAGAUCCUGGACCUGGUGAUCCCAGAGCAGUUCCUGGCUGUCCUGCCCCAGAGAUGGAGAGCUGGGUGAGGGAGUGUGGGGCCAAGACCAGUUCCCAGGCAGCGGCCCUGGCCGAAGGUUUCCUCCUGAGCCGGGCAGAGGACGAGAAGCAGGAAGAGCAGCAGGAAAAGCCUCUCUAUGCAGAAAUAGGAACUGAUUUCCCUGUGGCAGAGAGGACUCCAUCGGGCACCAGGCAGAGGCUGCUGGGUGAUGGAAUGAUGUCAGCAAGACCUAAUAAGUCAUCUCCCCUUUCUGGUGGAGGAGAAGUUGUUGCUAUCGCCCCAGAUCAGGAUGCAGUGUCUGGAGGAUGCGGCUGUGCAGUUCACGGAAGAGGAGUGGGCUUUGCUGAAUCCUGACCAGAGAGCUCUGCAUAGCGAAGUCAUGGAGGUGAUUUCUGGGACUCUGUCCUAUCUUGUUUUCCUACCUGACCCAGGAGUUUCACACACCCCUUCUUCAGGAUUGCCCACCAGGGCUAGGAAAGUUCCAGGUCGGAGGUCAAGCUUGGUCGGUCGGACAGCCUGAAGGGCCGGGAGGAGCUCAAGAGGUUUCGGAAAGCAGAGAAUGUGCCUGGCUCCCGGAGCGACGUGGACAUGGACACCCGGCUUCACCAGUCAGCAUCCUCUUCUGCGUCUCGCCUCUAUGCCAGGUGAAGAAGUGAAUCAUGUUGUUGUUGGUGGUGGUGGUGAAAGUGAAUUAAAGUCUGCUAUAUUCUAUACUGAUCAUUCCAACAAUACCUUCUGAACGUUCCCCUUUCUGCAUAUCUGUUCUGUGUCAGACAUCCUUCUAGAAGCUGCUUAUCACGUCUAAUCUUUGGCAUAACAGUUCUGUGCCAGACUCAACAAAGCCAUCCUGAAAUAGGGAGAAAAGCCGUCCUAGCAGCCCUUCAGUUAAAGCAUGCAGCUUUUGUCUUCAUGGGAUGCCCCCUCACCCUCCUCUUCUUCCUCCACUUGUUUACACACAUACACACACAUAAUACUGGGUGCAAGGGAAAGGGGGAGGGAUCAGUGAGAUCUGUGAAUGUCCUCUACCACCAAGCCUUCAGAUGUACAUGGGAAACUGCUUUAUACUGAGUCAGACUAUUGGUCCAUAUUGUUUAGUAUUAUCUACAUUGACUAUCAGCAGCUCUCCAGGGUUCCAGAUGGAG